RNAcentral lists this long non-coding RNA (233 nucleotides) under Bos taurus (domestic cattle). RNAcentral's name for it is "long non-coding RNA NONBTAT013535". Lineage: Eukaryota; Metazoa; Chordata; Mammalia; Artiodactyla; Bovidae. The record is from RNAcentral.
GUCCGCUAGGUAUGCCUUUCUAGCUUAGCUAGUGACAUGAAUUCAUCAAGGUAAGAUUUUAUCCUACCACUGAAUACCACUGUGUAGACGAUACUAUCCCUAAUUUGGAUUCUUAGUUUUGUACUUUGUGUUGAGUUUGUGAUGCUAAGAAUUUUUUUAAUGGAUAUAUACUGUAUUGUAGUGUUUAAUCGAAAUAAAACUAUUUGACCUUAUGGAGGAAGGUCAUGUUUUUA